CCGCCCCCCAGCCGGCCGUGGGCUGACUGUGACGUAACAGUGGUGCGGGGGGCUAACGGGCAGCGGAGGAGGGGUGUGCUAUGACGUCACGGCCGCCGGGAGCCAAUCGGGCGGGCGCGGAAGAUGCAUACGCUGAGCCUGUCCCCACAGUGUGGGAUGUCUGAGGAAGGAAUCUCAAAGUAUCCUCCGUGGCUCCUCUUCAACAACCGGGACGCUCAGCUGCGGAGGUCCCCUGUACCCGCUCCAGGUGCUUCAUUACCGUGACAGCCUAACGGGGAAUAGCGAGGGAGCCUUGGCGUUAGCACGGCCUGCGUGAAGAAAGCGGUUUGCUUCGUUCCCUCUCUCACAUAGUCCUUUGUGCUGGAAGAUGACCUUUUAAUUUUAUUUCCCCUCCCCCCGAAGAGUUUUUUCCGUCUCUUUGCUAAUUAAAUGAAAAUGUUACACAAAUAAAGAGCAGCUUUGCUUUGGAAAGGA
This is a non-coding RNA of Phalacrocorax carbo (great cormorant), 474 nucleotides long. The record is from RefSeq and is a predicted model, not a curated record. Lineage: Eukaryota; Metazoa; Chordata; Aves; Suliformes; Phalacrocoracidae.